RNAcentral lists this long non-coding RNA (4930 nucleotides) under Sus scrofa (pig). Its description in RNAcentral is "lncRNA (ENSSSCG00000062750.1)". The record is from RNAcentral. Lineage: Eukaryota; Metazoa; Chordata; Mammalia; Artiodactyla; Suidae.
UUAAGGAGAGCACAUUUAGCUGUUCUGAAGCCUAGAAAUCAGUGACGUGGAGAAUUAUUAUGCACAGUUCAUUUCCUUGUAAUUUAACUCUCAAGAGUAACAAAAGCAUAAUGUAUAGCCUAGUUUUCGGGUCUGAUUUACAACAAUUUAUACCAAAAGAUGAUUUCUACCUCAUCCCACCCCCUUUCUAGUCACUUCUGCUGAUAUCAGCAGCUGAGAAUUUUGUAUUUCAUCCUACCACCAUAGCCGCCUGAAAGCCACACAUCAGAGAAGAAAAUGUAAGACCUAUAGAGCUGGAUGCACAGUUUCACUUUCUGUCUCAAAUUCCAUCACAGUCUAAUCAUCUGUUUAAGAAAAAAAAAUGUUGCUUUUAAUUGUGGUGAUGUGGUUCACAUCCUCCACUACUUAAAUACUGUGAAGUCCAAAUGGGGCACAGGACUACUGUCCUCAAAGGGUUGUGGUGUCCCUUUCAAACCCAGAAGUACAAGGAGUGCACUCCAGCCUCCCCUCGGCUCACCCAUCCUCCACCCUUCCCUGCAGAUCCCAAGCCUCUUUGAUCUCCUUCCUCUGGCUCCUUGAGCACUUACAGACUCCACCAGCAAUUUAGCAUUUUGUAGCUAUUGUCUUGUUCUCUAAUUGCUUCAUAUGUGCACUUUUUUUUUCUCCCUAAGGAAAAAGAAAUAACAUUCUUUUUUUUCUUUGAGUGCUUACUUUGUCUAAAGCUCUCUGCUAAAGGUUUUACAUGUAAUUUCCUUUAAUCCUUUUAACAACCCUGUGGCUUAGAGGCAAUUGAUUUCAUUUUACAGAUGAGGAAACUGAGUCAGAGAAGUUGGAUCACUUACACAGAGUUAUACUAGAAAUAAGAGGGAGGAUUCAGACACAUUUCUUUCUAUUACAUUGUUCUGAGCCCAAAAUGAUUGUAAACCGAAAUGAGCAUCUUACUCCUCCAUACUCUCAGCAACAAGAAUGGUGGUUAGACACACACACACACUCUUAUGCACACACACACUUCUUACAAGAUAUUUAAGAUCUGUAUGAGUUAACCUUUUAUCUUAGUAAGGAAGCUAGAAAUGUCCUUAUUUUAAAAAUUAAGUAACUUGGUAAAUAUUAGCCAACUUCCCAGCCUCUUUGCAUUGGGCUUUCUCCACCAUACACUUAGUAGGAACUUCAUAUCACUCAUUGCAGUCCCAUCUUGUUGGAUGUGUGCUGUUGUUUCCUAGCUGGGCCUUCCUGACCUAGGGAAGAAGAACCCCAUGUUAUUUCAGAGAUUUAUCAUGAACCUCAGAGCCAGAACCUCUUUUAAGGGGUAUAAUCAGCUACCAGAGUAGUGGAAGAGCUGGGUCUAAUGUGAACCCAAGACUCCCAACUCCCAGCUCAAUGUCUCAUCCAUGGCAAAUAAAUGCCUUAUUGUCUUGUUUCCUCUUUAUGCUCUUCAGUUUGGAUAGAUUUGGUUUUGUGUUGGAUUUGAGUGUUUCCAGAUCCCAAUCUACUUCUCACCCCAAAUACUGGAGGGAAGGUGAGUCAGGAGGAAGACAGUGGACCACUUUCCUGGCAGUGGGAAAAAAAUAGACUAGCUAGGGAUAAGGAGCCAUCAAUAGGUCAUAGAGCCCUUUGGGUGUCACCAUGUCCCAUAUGUUUGGGAAUAGAACAUGGUAGAUGAAGGGGACUGAGUCAAAGUGUGUGUUAAUUGGAAUGAAAAUUCUUUCCAUCUGUUGAUUGGAAUUGGUACCUGAGUAAUAUAGUAGUACCCAUCAAGUAACAAGGGCUUUUCACAAACCUCUGCUACCUCCCAGAACUCUCAGCUCACUGGACCACCACAAACCACCCCUGAAAGUUGAGAAUGAAGCCACUGGAUGAAGUCAGCAGGAAUGGUUUCUAAAGACCCAGGCGAACUUACAAGCCAGGAGGUGAGCACUCAUCUAGGGAAUUCUGACCUCCAGGGAGGGGGACUGGGGACAGAGGAAUGUUGAUUUCUAACCUCUGAGACUACAUUAGUGGGACAUGUGGAACCAAUAAGGAAAUUAUCAUGGUCCCUAUAGGGUGGUUUCAAGAACUCAGAAUUUUACCACAUAUAAGAACUUAAGAUAACAAAAAAGGAAACGUCUCACACAUCUUGGGGUUUGGAAUAUUAUAGUGACUUGGGUGAAUGCUAAUGCCCAACUUUAGGGAGUGGUUUAGACGACACGAUCGUGGUCUGGAUGAUCACGACACUCUGGCCAGCUUUGACACACAUCUCUGGCUCUUUGUGCCAUUUUUUUGUAUGACAAGUUCAGGAUAAAAGAGGAGAAGUACUAGGCUUUGAGGACAGAGAAUCAGUCAGGCUUCAUUUCUGCUCUGCCUCUUAUCGCCUCUGUGACCUUGGGCCUAUGACUAUAUUUGUCUUCAUCAAAUUUCUCACAUGCAGCAUGGAAAUGAUAGUACCUACUCCUUAAAGUCAUUGUCAGUAUUAAAUAAAGCUUGAACAAUAUGAAUCCAGGAGAACACUGGAGCUAGGACUUAACAAGACAGACAUAGACACAACCCCUCAACCAUGUGGACUCACUGUAUUUACCAUAUCUUAUCACAUCUAAGACACCUGUAAGGCUAUAAGAUGUAGCAUUACUUCAUCACUGAGAAUGAAAAACAAAACAAAACAACCCACUGCCAAUGAAACUCUGCUUUCCAUUGAUUGUAAGAUCUAUCUCACAAGGGAUCUUUUAUUCAGUAAAAGAUAUUAAAAUGCAAAAAUUAAUUUAAAUUUUUUUUAUUGAAAAAGAAGCAAUUGACAGUGAAAAAGCAACCCACAGAAUAGGAGAAAAUAUUUGUGAAUUAUAUAUCUGAUACAGGCUUAAUCUCUAAAAUACAUAAACUUUUACAACUCAAUAGCAAAAAGCAAAAAACCUAACCACCUGAUUUAAAAAUGGACUAAGAAUUUGAGUAAACAUUUCUUCAAGAAAGAUAUGCAAAAGGCUGAUAGGUAUAUGAAAAGAUUGCUCAAUGUCACUAAUCAUCAGAGAAAUGCAAAGCAAAACCAUGAUGAGAUAUCACCUCAUACCUGUAAGGAUGCCUAUUAUUCCCCCCCCCCAAAAAGACAAGUGUUGGUGAGGAUAUGGAGAAAAGAAACUCCUUGUACACUAUGGAUGGGAAUGCAAAGUUAUACAGUUUCUAUGGAAAACAGUAUGACAGAGCCUCAACAACUUAAAAAUAGAGCUACCUGGUGACCCACCAAUCCCACUUCUAGGUAGUUAUCCAAAAGUAUUGAAAACAGGAUCUCAAAGAGAUAUUAGCACUUACACGUUCAUUGCAGUAUUAUACACAAUAGCCAAGAUGUGAAAACAACAUAAAUGUCCAUCAACGGAUGAAUGAAUAAAGUAACUGGCAGCUACAUAUAGUGGAAUAUUAUUCUUUCUUAAAAAAGGAGGAACUUCUGCCAUUUGUGACAUGGAUGGAUGUAGGGGGCAUUAUCCUAAGGAAAAGAAGUCAGUCACAGAAAAAAUAAAUACUGCAUUACUCCACUUGACGUUAGAGAGCUAAAAUGGUCAAAGUCAUAAAAUCCAAGAGUGGGGUGGUGUCUUCCAGGAACAAGCUUAUAUUUAGCGACUGUAUAUGUGACAUUUUAAGACUAUAAAGUCCAUCUACUAUCAUUUUUUAUAAGCUUUACUAAGCAAAAGAGUUUUUUAAGUCCCAAGGUGUCAACAUUGCUCAAAGGUCACUUAGUAAGUUUUUACCAAACACCUUAAUUAAAAUUGGAACCACCCACCAGCCCUCUCUUGCCCUCUCCCUCCUUUCCCAUGGCAUUUAUCACCUCAGGUACAUGUUUUGCUUAUAACUUAUUUAUUGUCUGCCUCCUGCAGUAGAAGGACAGACUUUUUUCAGUCCUAUUCACUGGUGUAUCUGCAGAACCUGGAGGAGUGCCUGGCACAUAAUAGGCCCUCAAAUAUUUGUGUGAACAUCAUUAAAAUGUCACACCUUUCAUUAAUAUUUCUGUCACUCAAUGCUGCUUGGAUUGAAAGCAACCUUUUAUUUCCUGAGCCUCUUAAUCUAUCUGAGCAUUCUUUUGGCUACAUUUAACUCUGGGUAAAGAAUAAAAAGGGAGGCAUACAGGAAUAAGAAAAAUGCCUUAUCAAAAAGCAAAUGAAGGCACACAAAGCCUGGCAACAAAACCAAAGGAAGAUAAUUCAGUCCUGGAAAGCUACAGUGAGAAUAUAACAAUAACAAUAAUAAUAGUAAUAGUGAUUGCUGUUAGCGGGUACCACCUGCAGACUGGGGCAUCAUUUUCCAGACAUGUAAUUAGUAUCAUAGAAUUGUCUUUCAGGAGCUUAGAUUUCCUGUGACCUGACUGGGGUAGGGGGUGGGGCGCCACGGGGAAACUGACAGGAAGAUACAUAAUAACAGGAAGUAGGAGUAGCAACAGGAAGAGGGGGAGGGGAGAGAGGAGGAAAGUGGAAGGAGCAGGCCAACAUCCAGGGCUGCAUCCCCCUCCCCCACAGCACCCCUGGAACCGGUCCCUUUGCUGCCAACGCUGCUUCCUCCCCCUGCUCCACCACCGGCAGGGGCUCAGGCAGAUUUCAUUUCCCUCACUGUCAAAUAUUUAAAAUCACCUGUCAUCUUUCCCUGGGGAAUUAGUGACAAAGCAUUUAAAAAAUUGCUUAAGAUACUGUGCUGUAAUACUUUCAAAUAGUUGGUAAAGCUUCUGAACGUCCCAGGAUAAAGGGGAUACCAGAAUCCUCCACCCUCAAAGAAAGCGCUGUAUGGGCAGGCCUGGAAAUUUGGCUGUAAGCUUCCAGCAGGAACGUGCGUGGGGGCUGGGCAGAGUGAUUCUGGGACUCCACCUCUGUAGUUUGGUCACACAGGGGCUCUUGGUCAUCUGAUGUCCUUCCACAUCUUGUACCAAGUCAAAAAUAUCCAGGUGGAGAAAUAUACCAGGGAAUCUAGGCAUAGCAACUAAAAU